Molecule: ribosomal RNA, 497 nt
Filed under: uncultured bacterium
Lineage: Bacteria
Description: partial 16S ribosomal RNA
Rfam family: Bacterial small subunit ribosomal RNA
Source: RNAcentral
GACGAACGCUGGCGGCGUGCCUAAUACAUGCAAGUAGAACGCUGAAGCGAGGAGCUUGCUCUUCUUGGAUGAGUUGCGAACGGGUGAGUAACGCGUAGGUAACCUGCCUUGUAGCGGGGGAUAACUAUUGGAAACGAUAGCUAAUACCGCAUAACAAUAGGUGACACAUGUCAUUUAUUUGAAAGGGGCAAUUGCUCCACUACAAGAUGGACCUGCGUUGUAUUAGCUAGUAGGUGAGGUAACGGCUCACCUAGGCGACGAUACAUAGCCGACCUGAGAGGGUGAUCGGCCACACUGGGACUGGGACACGGCCCAGACUCCUACGGGAGGCAGCAGUAGGGAAUCUUCGGCAAUGGGGGCAACCCUGACCGAGCAACGCCGCGUGAGUGAAGAAGGUUUUCGGAUCGUAAAGCUCUGUUGUAAGUCAAGAACGAGUGUGAGAGUGGAAAGUUCACACUGUGACGGCAGCUUACCAGAAAGGGACGGCUAACUACGUG